RNAcentral lists this ribosomal RNA (38 nucleotides) under Tamarix ramosissima. RNAcentral describes it as "partial 28S ribosomal RNA". The record is from RNAcentral. Lineage: Eukaryota; Viridiplantae; Streptophyta; Magnoliopsida; Caryophyllales; Tamaricaceae.
CCCAGGUCAGGCGGGGCUACCCGCUGAGUUAAAGCAUA